This 158-nucleotide ribosomal RNA is filed under the name Agelas clathrodes. RNAcentral's name for it is "5.8S ribosomal RNA". The stretch from base 46 to 158 matches the Rfam family "5.8S ribosomal RNA", at positions 1 to 113 of the family's 154-position model. Rfam says of the family: 5.8S ribosomal RNA (5.8S rRNA) is a component of the large subunit of the eukaryotic ribosome. It is transcribed by RNA polymerase I as part of the 45S precursor that also contains 18S and 28S rRNA. The record is from RNAcentral. Lineage: Eukaryota; Metazoa; Porifera; Demospongiae; Agelasida; Agelasidae.
CUCAUUCAGUUUUGUCUUGCUUUUGCACAUAARAAAAAUMAGCACAACUUCUAACGGUGGACCCCUCGGCUCGUGCAUCGAUGAAGAACGCAGCAAACUGCGAUACGUAGUGUGAAUUGCAGAAUUCAGUGAAUCAUCGAGUCUUUGAACGCAAAUGG